RNAcentral lists this unclassified non-coding RNA (338 nucleotides) under soil metagenome. RNAcentral describes it as "partial contains 5.8S ribosomal RNA, internal transcribed spacer 2, and large subunit ribosomal RNA". The stretch from base 1 to 120 matches the Rfam family "5.8S ribosomal RNA", at positions 35 to 154 of the family's 154-position model. The record is from RNAcentral.
GAUGAAGAACGCAGCGAAAUGCGAUACGUAGUGUGAAUUGCAGAAUUCAGUGAAUCAUCGAAUCUUUGAACGCACAUUGCGCCCUUUGGUAUUCCAAAGGGCAUGUCUGUUCGAGCGUCAUUUGUACCCUCAAGCUUUGCUUGGUGUUGGGCGUCUUGUCUCCAGUCCGCUGGAGACUCGCCUUUAAGUCAUUGGCAGCCGGCCUACUGGUUUCGGAGCGCAGCACAAGUCGCACUCUUUUCCAGCCAAGGUCAGCGUCCAACAAGCCUUUUUUCAACUUUUGACCUCGGAUCAGGUAGGGAUACCCGCUGAACUUAAGCAUAUCAAUAAGCGGAGGA